RNAcentral lists this ribosomal RNA (257 nucleotides) under uncultured Glomus. Its description in RNAcentral is "partial 18S ribosomal RNA". It matches the Rfam family "Eukaryotic small subunit ribosomal RNA", at positions 624 to 886 of the family's 1831-position model. Lineage: Eukaryota; Fungi; Glomeromycota; Glomeromycetes; Glomerales; Glomeraceae. The record is from RNAcentral.
AAGCUCGUAGUUGAAUUUCGGGAUUAGUACGUCGGUCGUGCCUUAGGUACGUACUGGUGUUACUGGUUCCUGCCUUCUGACGAACCAUCAUGUCAUUAAUUUGGUGUGGUGGGGAAUCAGGACUGUUACUUUGAAAAAAUUAGAGUGUUUAAAGCAGGCUCGCGCUUGAAUACAUUAGCAUGGUAUAAUGAAAUAGGACGUUGAUCCUAUUUUGUUGGUUUCUAGGAUUGACGUAAUGAUUAAUAGGGAUAGUUGGG